GUGGACAAUCCUUCGGAUAUCCUAUUUCCGUAGAUGUUUCACACACUGUAGCGAUGAAACCCUCCGCACAGCAGAGUUGCAGAGGAUUUACAAACUUGGGGGAAAGCAUGGGUAUAGCUACAGUUACAUGAGAAACCUUUUUCGAAAAGUGGAAGCAGCGCAUAGCAGUAAUCUAGCUUCUUUAGACCAACCUGGCCCCUCCUCUCCUAAUGGAACGGAACAAAAUCCGCCGUCCCGAGCUCUCUGGCCUUACAGACUGUUUAUGAAUAACACCAUUAAAUCCGCUAUGAGAUCAGUGAAUAAGAAGAGAGUAUAUAAAAGAGCCCCCACCGUUUUUAGCAUUCUACGAAACAACAAAAUAAAACGGCA
Molecule: long non-coding RNA, 369 nt
Filed under: Androctonus crassicauda
Lineage: Eukaryota; Metazoa; Arthropoda; Arachnida; Scorpiones; Buthidae
Source: RNAcentral